Molecule: non-coding RNA, 3467 nt
Organism: Equus caballus (horse)
Lineage: Eukaryota; Metazoa; Chordata; Mammalia; Perissodactyla; Equidae
Source: RefSeq, a predicted model, not a curated record
CGCAAAGGCAAAAAGAGAGAGAGAUUUGCUAAUGCAUUAAACAGCUAUGUUUUACAGCUGUGCUGCCAGGCUCUCCUCACACACUAUACUGUUACUGGGCAUCAUGUGGAUAAGACACCCAGGACCCCAUAUGCCACACAAGACACCACGAAGCAGCCUCUGAUUAGCUCAGAUAGGAACUUGAAUGAGAAAAUCAAUUCAUGUCAAAGCACAAAGCUCCAUUCUGGCCACUUGUGACUCCCCUCCCUCCAGCAGGUAGUUGAGUCAAGUUGUAUUAAGCCAGGUAAAGCACUUACAUCUCUAAUCUGUCUUGCCUAUGAGAACCCACAGACCUAGCACCCAUCAGAAUGCAUAGAUAAUUAAAAGGGGAUAGCAGACUUAGAACAGGGGGCCAGGAAUGGAGAUUUCCAUAUAUACCAGAAACCAAUUUCCAAUGAUAGAGGGUUAGUAUACAUUGUGGAUUGCCUGGGUUUUCGUUUAUUUGUUUUGCUUUUUUUGGCUUCCUAUUUUUGGUAAUUCUACUGCCUAUAAGUAGGGCAAGGAAAAAAAAGAGGAAAUCAGAUCCAGCUAAUAUUUUGAGUCCAUAUUAACCAUUGUGCAAAAAGAUGGGUGAGGUUUGAAUUUAGAUUAUUCAUCCUUUCCCAAGGCUCCAUUUAGGUAACUGGAAUGGAUUAUAUAGCUUUGGACUAUUUCUCUUCUUGCCAAUAUUAUUAGAAUUAUGAAGUAACAGGCAUUGUGGCAAGACCAAGAAACUUGAGUGCACUGUGACUUUGAAGUCACACAAUCUUUCUAAGCCUCAGUAUGACGGAUAUAAUAAUUCCUGCCUUUUCUACAUCACAAGAUUAUACUGUAGUCUUAAGGAGGUAAAGUAAAUGUACUUUUGGAAAAUAAGCUUUUUAGCAAGUAGCACAUUAAUAUUAUUUUAGCUUAUUAAGGUUUUACAAUUAGUAGCCAACAUCCAGCGCAAUCACAAUUCUGAUUUUUACAGGCUCUACAAAUAUUGCAAAAGUCAUGGAAAUUCAUGUGACACUACAGAACAUAUUCUCAUUAGAAAGAAUAAAAAAAGUCUUCAUUUUGUUUCACAUUAUGUACUAAAACAUUGCUUCUCAAACCUAAUGUGCGUUGGAGGAUCUUGUUAAAUCAUCAGGGAUCUUGUUAAAAUGCACAUUCUGAUCCAGCAGGCUGGGGUAGGGCUUAAGAUUCUGCAUUUCCAACAUCCUCCAGGUGUUGCCAAUGACUCUCCUGGUCCACAGACCAGGCAUUGUGUGCUUUGAGCAGCACUAAACCACUAACUUUGUCUCAGUAACUUUUAGUUCAUAAUAUAGUCUCCCAAAGCCGCAUAAUUUGCAGGCAGCUUGCAAUAUUUAAGACAGUCUUUUAAUUUUUCUUCUCUUUUGGCUCUGCAUGCAUGCAAGGGCUUUAAAAAGAGUUUGUUUUACUGUACAAAAAAAUAUUUUCCAUAAAACUAUAGAAAUGCACAAGUAAAAAUAAUGUAUAACGAUAGGCAAUACUAUUUAUUUAUCCUAUGGAAUUAAAUAAUUUAUACUAUAAAAAUCCUGUAUAAUUACACAAGAUAUGUCAGAGAUAUAUGUAAAAUGUAGUUCAUUAUUGUUCAUAGCAUAAAAAGUGGAAACAAACUAAAUGUUCAAUAGAAGACUGAUAAAUUAUGCUAUAUCCACACCACUUUUAUUUUACAGACACAUAUAUAUCACAGAGAUAUACCAAUAGACUUGAUUUAUAUCAACAAUGAUUCUGCAGAAUAUUAUAAAGAGAAUGGUCUUUUCAACAAAUGGUACUGAGGCAAGUGGAUGUUCAUUUGAGAAAAAAGAAAAAGAAAAUUGAUCCUAGCCUCACCUCAUAAUAAAAAUAAAUUCCCUGUAGAUUGUGAAUAAAACUGGGGACCCAAAAGACUUUCAGAAGAUAAUAUAGAAGAGCAUCUUCGUGAAUUUGGAAUAAAGUUUUUUUAAAAAUAGAACUUAAAACACUAUUAACCACAAAAGGGAAAGACUGAUAAGUUGACUAGACAAAAACUAAAAACUUCUGGUCAUCAAAUAAGAGUGAAUAGUUUAGCCUCGGAAUAUUGGUAACACAAAUGACUAACAAAGGCAUUGUAUCCAGAUUAUAUAAAGAACAUCCAAAAAUUAAUAGGACAGGUAUCCUAGUAGGAAAAUUGGAAAGUGACUUGAAGAGGUCCUUCACAAAAAAGACGAGUUGAGGACAUCAGGAUCAGAACAGCAGAGAAGGCAAACAGAAAUCUGGCCCCCAGCUGGUGUGAAGAUUCAAAAUUGCUCCGGUGAGAAGGGAAAAGGGAGAAAAGAAAAAGGUGGAAAGAGCAGCCAGACUGAAGACUUUCCUGGCAAAUAAUGAGAAAGAACUCAGGAUGUUUUGCGUAGGCAGGCUGGCUUUGAAUAUUCAUGAAAUGUUCACAAAUUCAUAAAAAAUUUUUAAAUAAAAUAAUUCAUAAAAAUGUUAAUGGUGAGUAUUCAAAAUGGUCUGGUUGUGCCCUAGGAUGACCCAGAACUCUGGGACCAAAGGGAAAAAAGGUGGCUUUAGAAGGACGUACUCAAAAUACGAAACUUGGAAAAUUUCUCCAUGUAUUCCAUGAGAGUAUUACCACAAGAGUCACUACAGAUAAAUAAAAAUCCGAAAUAGGUCUCAAGAUGGAAGAAAAGUAUUUCUAGAAGCACUCUUGAGAACACAGGGCCUUCAGACUUAUUUGCAUUAAUACACUAGAACAGAGACUAAAGGAAGUUGCAGAAAAUCUCUCUUAGGAUUGUUCAAUAAAUAUGAAACCUAGUCAUCCACUGACAGUCUUUAAAUGUGAGAACACAUUUCAAUAAGCUGCCAUCUGAGCUCCCUUUAAUCUCUGUUAUUUAUCUUUCAGUUAAAGCGCUCAGUCUUCACGCACAGGCACUAAAGCAAAGCAGCAGGAAGAAAACAUAACAAAGGGGAAGGCCAGGGAGGGAGGACAAGCCCUUCCCACAAACGUCUGUAUCUAGGAUGCGUGCUCUGCCUCCCAAUGCUCAACAGAAAUGUAAAGUAAAUGUUGAAAUCAAAAUAGAACCCAAAAAUUUCUGCUUCCAGGAAGACGCAGAAGAUGAGUUUUUCCCCAUUCUUCCCCAAUACAACCAAAAACCUGGACAUUAUAUAGAAACAAACACUAGAAGACUCUGAUAAGUGGAGAGAACAAUCAGACUAGCUCGGGACCUUGGGAUCCAGGAAACAACACAAUGUGAAUUUCUCCAUGAGACCUUCUGUGAAGAAAGAGCAUUCUACAUCUAAAAGGUUUGGAGACAGACUGCCAAGUUUCAUGACCUGACUCUGCCACCCAGUAGCUGUGUAACCUUGGUCAAGUUCCUUACCCUCUCUGUGCCUCAGUUUCCUUAUCAGUAAAAUUCACAUAAUAUCAAUGUUAAUUGCUACUAACAAUAUAAAUAAUAAACAACAUGGGGUUGUUCGUGAGUUAA